RNAcentral lists this small RNA (96 nucleotides) under Arenimonas metalli. RNAcentral describes it as "Manganese sequence". It matches the Rfam family "Manganese Mn2+ riboswitch aptamer (yybP-ykoY)". Rfam says of the family: This RNA was originally discovered in E. coli during a large scale screen and was named SraF. The family was later found to exist upstream of related families of protein genes in many bacteria, including the the yybP and ykoK genes in B. subtilis. The specific functions of these proteins are unknown, but this structured RNA element may be involved in their genetic regulation as a riboswitch. The record is from RNAcentral. RNAcentral also lists the same sequence under 1 other name. Lineage: Bacteria; Pseudomonadati; Pseudomonadota; Gammaproteobacteria; Lysobacterales; Lysobacteraceae.
UUCCCUGGCUUCGGGGAGUAGCCCAGGCCCUCCGGGCCGCCUCGCAUCAACAUACUUGGCGAUCGCCAUGGUGCGCGGGCAAGGCAAGCGCCUUGC